GACGAACGCUGGCGGCGUGCUUAACACAUGCAAGUCGAACGAAGUGGGAACGGGUGAGUAAUACGUGAGUAACCUCCCUCCUUUUUGGGAUAAGCCUUGGAAACGGGGUCUAAACCGAAUAGAUGGGCUCGCGGCCUAUCAGCUUGUUGGUGGGGGGAUGGCCUACCAAGGCGGUGACGGGUAGCCGGCCUGAGAGGGUGACCGGCCACAUUGGGAAUUAUACACGGGUCCGACGCCUACGGGGGGCAGCAGUGGGGAAUCUUCCGCAAUGGAGGAAAGUCUGACUGAGCAACGCCGCGGGGGUGAUGACGGCCUUCGGGUUGGAAAGCUCUGUUAAGCGGGACGCGGUACCGGAAUAGAAAGCCACGGCUAACUACGUGCCAGCAGCCGCGGUAAUUC
RNAcentral lists this ribosomal RNA (399 nucleotides) under uncultured bacterium. Its description in RNAcentral is "partial 16S ribosomal RNA". It matches the Rfam family "Bacterial small subunit ribosomal RNA", at positions 28 to 526 of the family's 1533-position model. The record is from RNAcentral.